CCUACGGGUGGCAGCAGUGGGGAAUAUUGGACAAUGGGCGAAAGCCUGAUCCAGCCAUGCCGCGUGUGUGAAGAAGGCCUUCGGGUUGUAAAGCACUUUCAGUGGGGAAGAAAGCCUUGGGGCUAAUACCCUCGAGGAAGGACAUCACCCACAGAAGAAGCACCGGCUAACUCCGUGCCAGCAGCCGCGGUAAUACGGAGGGUGCGAGCGUUAAUCGGAAUUACUGGGCGUAAAGCGCGCGUAGGCGGUCUGAUAAGCCGGUUGUGAAAGCCCCGGGCUCAACCUGGGAACGGCAUCCGGAACUGUCAGGCUAGAGUGCAGGAGAGGAAGGUAGAAUUCCCGGUGUAGCGGUGAGAUGCGUAGAGAUCGGGAGGAAUACCAGUGGCGAAGGCGGCCUUCUGGACUGACACUGACGCUGAGGUGCGAAAGCGUGGGUAGCAAACAGGAUUAGAUACCCCAGUAGUC
This 465-nucleotide ribosomal RNA is filed under the name Vreelandella stevensii. RNAcentral describes it as "partial 16S ribosomal RNA". It matches the Rfam family "Bacterial small subunit ribosomal RNA", at positions 338 to 795 of the family's 1533-position model. Lineage: Bacteria; Pseudomonadati; Pseudomonadota; Gammaproteobacteria; Oceanospirillales; Halomonadaceae. The record is from RNAcentral.